Pogona vitticeps (central bearded dragon) is the source of this 4036-nucleotide non-coding RNA. Lineage: Eukaryota; Metazoa; Chordata; Lepidosauria; Squamata; Agamidae. The record is from RefSeq and is a predicted model, not a curated record.
CCAAUCUUCGCAAUGCGGGUUUUCCCCAUUGCGACAAUCGGAUAUGUUUCCAUACAGCGAUCCCGAAAAAGGGAUCGCUAUACGGAAACAUCGCUAUACGGUGCACUCGUUAAGCGAGGCACCACUGUACCAGCAGUUUGGUAUAUAUAAAAAAACUAACACUAGUUUUAAAAGAACAGAAUUAUGAUGAUGGCCUUCAAAACUCUGGUCUCUCCUAUUUGCUAUAUUUAAUGUUACCAGAGAGAGUGACAUAAUUGUGAGUAGUGGGGCUUGGCACCCCAUCAUUAUGCUUUAUCAUGUCAGUUGUGUCUCUGUCUCUUUAGUAUGCAUAUUUUUGGCAUGGUGCCUGUUUGACUGUAUCUUGAGAAUCUACAACAGGAAGAAGGGAGUGGUGUUGUGCUUAGUUAAACAGAUAGACACACCGACAGUAUAAUGCAAAGGCUUUAAUUGAGUUUGUCCGGUCUCUCUUAUUUUGAUCCCCAGCACACUGGGGUUAAUAUUAGACAGCAAAUUCUCUUAGUUUUAACUGGCUGCUUUAUAUAAAUGUAUGUAAUAUAUAUAGGCUGAAAUCCUAUUGCUUAGCACAGUAAAUCACAACUAGAGUAGGCCCAUUGAAUCAGUGCAGAUUUGGUGAGAAAACCCUCAUAGGUUUCAUUGAUUUGGAUGGGCCUACCCUAGUUGUGACUUGCUGUGCUUUGGCCAGGCUUUAUGAAGUCCCCAUCCCACAGCUCCUAUUUCUGAAUGAACCGAAGCACAUAUAUAUCUGACUUCAGCUACACUGGCAAGGGCUCCUCAGAGCCUCCUGGCCAAGAGCAGACUAACAUCUCUUCUACUCUGGGUCCUCUUCCUCUUUUCCUGUCCCAUCUCCAGUCCCCAUUUUUGUUCCUUAAGAAAUUACUUCUUGUCUCUCCCUCUUUCUCAGUUCCUCUUCUUGUUCUUUCUGUAUGAUAUGUAACAGUAACAUCUGUAGCUCACUGGUACCUCUAUUCUUAUCAUAUGUUUUGUAUGAUGUCAAAUAGCACCCAUACAGUUCUGAAGUAGAAGAUAAAAUUGUUCCCUUUCGGGUUUUCCAGAGCUCUCAUGAGAGAGAAGAAAAAGCAUUUCUUUCUGUUUUGAUCCAUUAGUCCUGUGAACAAGAGUUCAAUUUCUGCCUUUCAUAGCCAUUUCCUGUUUUCCUGGUCUGGCAAUCAGUUUCCUUUCUGUGAGAGAGGCUCUUGAGAUCCUCCUGCGCCUGCAGGAUGAACCCUUGCAUAGCCUGAUUCUCAUGAUGCUGUUGUGCUUCUCUGUGACUCCUGGCCAAAUAACAUGUAUCUGCAAUGCAUUCUUCCCUGGUCUUCCGCAUUUCAUCAUAGUUUCUGUGUCCCAGCCAUUUUGAGCAACAAAGGUCUAUUCUAAACUUUUUCUUUUUACUCUUGCAUUAAUUUUAAAAAGUUAAACCAUUUAUUAGUUUGCAUAAUUUCAUUCCUUAUCCUGCAGGAUGGGGAAGGGGGAGGAUUAUAUUAUUUCUUGAAUUUGUGAUACUGUUGCUUUUAUUGAUAGAGUAGCUGACAAUGUUACCAACUUGGCAUAGUGUUUGUACUUCUAUUGGAAAAAUAACAGAUAGCCUUAUUGUCUCAAUUUGUUGUGAUAGGAAUGACAGAACUGAUACAGCGGGAAGAGUAAUGAAUGUGCACCAAGCUCAUGAAUAUGAAGUUCUGGAAUUGUGCUUAUCAUAAAUAAGACAUCCCACAUCCUAUUGUUCAUUUCCAGAUGUAUAUUUCUUUCUGGUUUUGUCACAGUCUGAUAAGGACUACAGCUAAUGCUGAUGAACUCGUAGUGUAGGAAAGUCAUCAGGGAGCAAGGGCAGCUUUAUGUAAACACAACCACACCAUGAAUGGCCAGAGUAAAUGAUCAUGGUUUUAAAUUAUGGCUGCUAUUUGCAUUUUUUUUAAUGCAAAGUCUCAUUUGAAGAUCAGCUGAGCCAACUGAAAGUUUGGCAUUUAAUUUCAGUGGCUUCAGUUGAGUUGGAAGAAUGCUAUUAUUGGGAGAAACUAAACCGAGGUCCUGUGCAAAUAUGUAAGAGCAAAAAUAUACAAGAAUAAAAUCAGAUAUAAAUUGGCACACGUAGCCAUUACGAUAGCAUACAUGUUGGUCUCUUAUAAACGCUCCAUGAGCGUAGCUUCAGGAACUGAAAAAGCAGGGUUGGUUCGAUGAUCUGAAAGGAAACUAGCAAAAAAGCGUUGCAGCAACUUUGUUGAAAUGGCUGUUUUCAUUUUCAUUUCCUUUCAUCAUAGUCACAAAACUGUUAUGUAUAAUGAAUGAUAUGCCAGUAUCUUUGCUAUCAUUUCUGGACUUCUGAUUAUCCAGAGUGUUAGGAGGUUUUGUCAGGCCAAUCAGAUACACGGCCUGUCAUUGUAACUGAACACACAUCUAAGUUCAGUUUUAGGAGAGAUUCUAUUGCCACUCUUCAUAGUCUUUUCUGUCUCUUCUAAAAAGCCCUUAUGUUUGCAUUGAACAGUAUCCUCUUGAGGAGCUAUACUGGUACAGGGAGUGACGUCUCCAGCAUUUGGCACUAAUUCGAGUUCUUUUUUCAGUUUCAAAGUGUGUGUGACUUGCAUGCAGUGGAACAAAGUUGCACUCACCCCAAAAUUGAAAAAGGUACUCUUGGUAACUAAUUAGACUCUUCCAUUUUCGAUUUCGGGGUGCAUGCUACUUCAUCUCAUUACAUGCACUUUAAAAGAGAAAAAUGAUCUGUCACUACUGGUGAUGUCAUUUCCACUGCACCAGCAAAACUCCACAACAGGAAAACUGUCCAUCAUUUUUUAUCAUCUCACUUACCUUUACCCUGCUGUGUAUACUGCAAAGAGCUUAUUAUGUGGAAUCAUCACACUGUCUUGACUCCCUACCAGCCAAUGAGAGGAUGAGGAGAGACACAGUAGAAGGAUAUCAGAUUAAAUAUUGUGUUAUAGAAAUGAAACGAAGGCAAGGUGAUGGAGCAGCAGUGCUUCAAUUGUCUUAUAGUAUCUCAUUUGGACAUCACAGUUCUGUGCGUUUUUGUGUUUAAGUAAGGCCCUGUUCUUCGUGGGUGUUACUUCCUAACAAGUGUUUUAUUUAAACUCACAGCUGAAACAUCAACAACAUUGGCUUGUUUAUCUGAGAAUAGUGCCAUUUUUGCUGUUUCUUGCAGAGGCCAUAAUGAGUCACUCCUGCUUCCUUGCUUGGGCUUGAUAUUUUCUUGCUGGGAAUUUUGCCUCACCAAAAUACUAGCAAGCUUUCCUGUUUAUUUCUGAUUGCUACUUCUCUGUAUUAUAAUAUUACCGUUCUAUUCAUUCAUCUCCUGAUUGAAAGCACUGCAAAGCCCCAUAAAUAGCCCUGGCAUAUGAGUUGCAAGAACAAAAAUGCCAGUGAUGAUGAAAACCAGUGGACAGACUAUGUAGGGACUGUUGCCUUUAUUACUCAUGAUAUAUAAGCAUCUUUGAUCGCAGGAAUGUCACAUCAUAUACAGAACCCAUUUUCCUACAUUCAGUAAGUCUUAGAUAUGUUCAGAUAUUCACGUGAGCAUAAACAGGGCUUAUUAAAAUGGAAAUGGGGACAUAUGAAUGCAUGCAAGCCUCACAUUAUUUAGGGCACUGUACCCUGUAGCAUCAAAACCCUUCAUGAACCUUUGGUCUGCAGGGCACUGUGUAACCAUGAGGUCAGUUUGUUUUUACUGAUGAACUUAGUUACAGAGCCUUCUGCAGACCUUGGUGCUCCACUUGCAAAGCUCUCCAAUGCUGAAGGGCAUUGGCACUGCAUGUGCAAUCUCAAUCCCCAGUUUAAGCUCUCAGUGUGUUCUGGCAAAUGCCUAAAUACACCUCUAGGAUGACCAAGAAACAGCCUCCAUGCUAGAGGUAUGCAACUGUACAGAAAUAAGUGUGAUUCUGUAUCUCUGGAAUUAUUAAAGACAGGAAACAGGUUUAACUCCUAAGCUUUCCAAUAAUGCCAUAUUACAACUUUUUGUUUGACUUGUAUAAUAAGUUGUUUAUUCUGUGAGUAAAUAAAGAACAGCAUGAAUUGA